UGGGGAAUUUUGGACAAUGGGCGCAAGCCUGAUCCAGCCAUGCCGCGUGCGGGAAGAAGGCCUUCGGGUUGUAAACCGCUUUUGUCAGGGAAGAAAUCUUCUGAGUUAAUACCUCGGGAGGAUGACGGUACCUGAAGAAUAAGCACCGGCUAACUACGUGCCAGCAGCCGCGGUAAUACGUAGGGUGCAAGCGUUAAUCGGAAUUACUGGGCGUAAAGCGUGCGCAGGCGGUUUUGUAAGACAGAGGUGAAAUCCCCGGGCUCAACCUGGGAACUGCCUUUGUGACUGCAAGGCUUGAGUGCGGCAGAGGGGGGAUGGAAUUCCGCGUGUAGCAGUGAAAUGCGUAGAUAUGCGGAGGAACACCGAUGGCGAAGGCAAUCCCCUGGGCCUGCACUGACGCUCAUGCACGAAAGCGU
RNAcentral lists this ribosomal RNA (416 nucleotides) under uncultured bacterium. RNAcentral describes it as "partial 16S ribosomal RNA". It matches the Rfam family "Bacterial small subunit ribosomal RNA", at positions 355 to 762 of the family's 1533-position model. The record is from RNAcentral.